GGAGGAUCCGAGCGUUAUCCGGAUUUAUUGGGUUUAAAGGGAGCGUAGGUGGACAGUUAAGUCAGUUGUGAAAGUUUGCGGCUCAACCGUAAAAUUGCAGUUGAUACUGGCUGUCUUGAGUACAGUAGAGGUGGGCGGAAUUCGUGGUGUAGCGGUGAAAUGCUUAGAUAUCACGAAGAACUCCGAUUGCGAAGGCAGCUCACUGGACUGCAACUGACACUGAUGCUCGAAAGUGUGGGUAUCAAACAGGAUUAGAUACCCUGGUAGUCCACACAGUAAACGAUGAAUACUCGCUGUUUGCGAUAUACAGUAAGCGGCCAAGCGAAAGCAUUAAGUAUUCCACCUGGGGAGUACGCCGGCAACGGUG
Molecule: ribosomal RNA, 367 nt
Filed under: uncultured Bacteroides sp.
Lineage: Bacteria; Pseudomonadati; Bacteroidota; Bacteroidia; Bacteroidales; Bacteroidaceae
Description: bacterial SSU rRNA
Rfam family: Bacterial small subunit ribosomal RNA
Source: RNAcentral